GAAAUGCGAUAAGUAAUGUGAAUUGCAGAAUUCAGUGAAUCAUCGAAUCUUUGAACGCACAUUGCGCCCCCUGGUAUUCCGGGGGGCAUGUCUGUUCGAGCGUCAUUUCACCACUCAAGCCUCGCUUGGUAUUGGGCGACGCGGUCCGCCGCGCGCCUCAAAUCGACCGGCUGGGUCUUUCGUCCCCUCAGCGUUGUGGAAACUAUUCGCUAAAGGGUGCCGCGGGAGGCCACGCCGUAAAACAACCCCAUUUCUAAGGUUGACCUCGGAUCAGGUAGGGAUACCCGCUGAACUUAAGC
This 299-nucleotide unclassified non-coding RNA is filed under the name plant metagenome. RNAcentral's name for it is "partial contains 5.8S ribosomal RNA, internal transcribed spacer 2, and large subunit ribosomal RNA". The stretch from base 1 to 105 matches the Rfam family "5.8S ribosomal RNA", at positions 50 to 154 of the family's 154-position model. The record is from RNAcentral.